RNAcentral lists this transfer RNA (74 nucleotides) under Candidatus Berkelbacteria bacterium CG08_land_8_20_14_0_20_39_8. RNAcentral describes it as "tRNA-Trp". It matches the Rfam family "tRNA". From Rfam's summary of the family: Transfer RNA (tRNA) molecules are approximately 80 nucleotides in length. Their secondary structure includes four short double-helical elements and three loops (D, anti-codon, and T loops). Lineage: Bacteria; Candidatus Berkelbacteria. The record is from RNAcentral.
AGGGUGUUAGUUAAACGGUAUAACAGCGGUCUCCAAAACCGCGGUCAGGGGUUCAACUCCUCUACACCCUGCCA